UACGAAGGGGGCUAGCGUUGCUCGGAAUCACUGGGCGUAAAGGGUGCGUAGGCGGGUUUUUAAGUCAGGGGUGAAAUCCUGGAGCUCAACUCCAGAACUGCCUUUGAUACUGAAGAUCUUGAGUCCGGGAGAGGUGAGUGGAACUGCGAGUGUAGAGGUGAAAUUCGUAGAUAUUCGCAAGAACACCAGUGGCGAAGGCGGCUCACUGGCCCGGUACUGACGCUGAGGCACGGAAAGCGUGGGGAGCAAACAGG
Molecule: ribosomal RNA, 254 nt
Filed under: uncultured bacterium
Lineage: Bacteria
Description: partial 16S ribosomal RNA
Rfam family: Bacterial small subunit ribosomal RNA
Source: RNAcentral